CCCUUAGAUGUUCUGGGCCGCACGCGCGCUACACUGAUGCAUUCAACGAGCCUAUCCUUGACCGACAGGUCCGGGUAAUCUUUGAAUCUGCAUCGUGACGGGGAUAGAUUAUUGCAAUUAUUAAUCUUCAACGAGGAAUGCCUAGUAGGCGCAAGUCAUCAGCUUGCGUCGAUUACGUCCCUGCCCUUUGUACACACCGCCCGUCGCUCCUACCGAUUGGGUGUGCUGGUGAAAUGUUAGGAUCGGCCGUUUGUCGCGGUUUCCGCGGCUCGUGGCUGAGAAGUUCAUUAAACCCUCCCACCUAGAGGAAGGAGAAGUCGUAACA
This 325-nucleotide ribosomal RNA is filed under the name uncultured eukaryote. RNAcentral's name for it is "partial 18S ribosomal RNA". It matches the Rfam family "Eukaryotic small subunit ribosomal RNA", at positions 1470 to 1796 of the family's 1831-position model. The record is from RNAcentral.